This 627-nucleotide ribosomal RNA is filed under the name uncultured Russulaceae. Its description in RNAcentral is "LSU rRNA". It matches the Rfam family "Eukaryotic large subunit ribosomal RNA", at positions 47 to 649 of the family's 3401-position model. The record is from RNAcentral. Lineage: Eukaryota; Fungi; Basidiomycota; Agaricomycetes; Russulales; Russulaceae.
UAAGCGGAGGAAAAGAAACUAACAAGGAUUCCCCUAGUAACUGCGAGCGAAGCGNGAAAAGCUCAAAUUUAAANUCUGGUGGUCUUUGGCCAUCCGAGUUGUAAUCUAGAGAAGCGUCUUCCGCGCUGGNCGUGCACAAGUCUCCUGGAACGGAGCGUCGUAGAGGGUGAGAAUCCCGUCUUUGGCAUGGACACACCAGGGCUUUUGUGAUGCGCUCUCGAAGAGUCGAGUUGUUUGGGAAUGCAGCUCAAAAUGGGUGGUGAACUCCAUCUAAAGCUAAAUAUUGGCGAGAGACCGAUAGCGAACAAGUACCGUGAGGGAAAGAUGAAAAGCACUUUGGAAAGAGAGUGAAACAGUACGUGAAAUUGUUGAAAGGGAAACGCUUGAAGUCAGUCGCGUCGACCGAGACUCAGCCUCGCCUCGGCUUGGUGUACUUCUCGGCCCGACGGGUCAGCAUCAAUUUCGCCUCUUGGAUAAUGGCGAGGGAAACGUGACACCUUUACGGUGUGUUAUAGUCUCUCGUCGCAUGCAAGGGUCGGGAUUGAGGAACUCAGCACGCGCCUUUGGGUGUCGGGGCUUUGCCUACGAUACGUGCUUAGGAUGUUGGCGUAAUGGCUUUAAACGACC